GAUGAACGCUGGCGGCGUGCCUAAUACAUGCAAGUCGAGCGAACAGACGAGUAGCUUGCUCCUCUGACGUUAGCGGCGGACGGGUGAGUAACACGUGGAUAACCUACCUAUAAGACUGGGAUAACUUCGGGAAACCGGAGCUAAUACCGGAUAAUAUAUUGAACCGCAUGGUUCAAUAGUGAAAGACGGUUUUGCUGUCACUUAUAGAUGGAUCCGCGCCGCAUUAGCUAGUUGGUAAGGUAACGGCGUACCAAGGCAACGAUGCGUAGCCGACCUGAGAGGGUGAUCGGCCACACUGGAACUGAGACACGGUCCAGACUCCUACGGGAGGCAGCAGUAGGGAAUCUUCCGCAAUGGGCGAAAGCCUGACGGAGCAACGCCGCGUGAGUGAUGAAGGUCUUCGGAUCGUAAAACUCUGUUAUUAGGGAAGAACAAAUGUGUAAGUAACUAUGCACGUCUUGACGGUACCUAAUCAGAAAGCCACGGCUAACUACGUG
RNAcentral lists this ribosomal RNA (497 nucleotides) under uncultured bacterium. Its description in RNAcentral is "partial 16S ribosomal RNA". It matches the Rfam family "Bacterial small subunit ribosomal RNA", at positions 28 to 507 of the family's 1533-position model. The record is from RNAcentral.